AUGCACGCUGGCGGCGUGCCUAAUACCUGCAAGUCGCGCGAACAGACGAGGAGCUUGCUCCUCUGACAUUAGCGGCGGACGGGUGAGUAACACGUGGAUAACCUACCUAUAAGACUGGGAUAACUUCGGGAAACCGGAGCUAAUACCGGAUAAUAUAUUGAACCGCAUGGUUCAAUAGUGAAAGACGGUUUUGCUGUCACUUAUAGAUGGAUCCGCGCCGCAUUAGCUAGUUGGUAAGGUAACGGCUUACCAAGGCAACGAUGCGUAGCCGACCUGAGAGGGUGAUCGGCCACACUGGAACUGAGACACGGUCCAGACUCCUACGGGAGGCAGCAGUAGGGAAUCUUCCGCAAUGGGCGAAAGCCUGACGGAGCAACGCCGCGUGAGUGAUGAAGGUCUUCGGAUCGUAAAACUCUGUUAUUAGGGAAGAACAAAUGUGUAAGUAACUAUGCACGUCUUGACGGUACCUAAUCAGAAAGCCACGGCUAACUACGUG
This 496-nucleotide ribosomal RNA is filed under the name uncultured bacterium. RNAcentral's name for it is "partial 16S ribosomal RNA". It matches the Rfam family "Bacterial small subunit ribosomal RNA", at positions 29 to 507 of the family's 1533-position model. The record is from RNAcentral.